UUCUUAGUAUAAGUGUAGGCGAUUUUUUGAUUGGAAAGUAAAGGAGCAAUAACCAACACUCUUGAUAGAAUAAGAAAUUGGUUAUUGUUCCUUCCUUUUUCCUUAGAUGUUCAUUUUUUUAUAAUUUAUAUACAUUCUUUUCAACCCUUUGUAAGGCUUUGUGAAAUUAUUAUCUUAUCUUCUAAUUUUUUUUUUUUUUUAGGGAAAAAAAAUACWAUWAAAAGGGGGGGSGGAUGUACCCAAKGGGAUAAGGGGGGGGGAUUGURAAUCCCCCAKGCCCCCCKKGGUAAAAUUKUUUY
RNAcentral lists this unclassified non-coding RNA (299 nucleotides) under Leptospermum liversidgei. Its description in RNAcentral is "partial miscellaneous RNA". Lineage: Eukaryota; Viridiplantae; Streptophyta; Magnoliopsida; Myrtales; Myrtaceae. The record is from RNAcentral.